RNAcentral lists this ribosomal RNA (490 nucleotides) under uncultured bacterium. RNAcentral's name for it is "bacterial SSU rRNA". It matches the Rfam family "Bacterial small subunit ribosomal RNA", at positions 30 to 507 of the family's 1533-position model. The record is from RNAcentral.
UGAACGCUAGCGGCAGGCUUAACACAUGCAAGUCGAGGGGCAGCAUGAGACGGAGAUUCGUCGAAGUCUUGAUGGCGACCGGCGCAAGGGUGCGUAACGCGUGAGCAACUUGCCCGUUUCUGGGGAAUAACCGGUGGAAACGCCGACUAAUACCCCAUAGUAUUGAUCAGAGGCAUCUCUGUUCAAUUAAAGAAUUUCGGAAACGGAUAGGCUCGCGUGACAUUAGCUAGAUGGCGGGGUAACGGCCCACCAUGGCGACGAUGUCUAGGGGUUCUGAGAGGAAGGUCCCCCACACUGGAACUGAGACACGGUCCAGACUCCUACGGGAGGCAGCAGUGAGGAAUAUUGGUCAAUGGUCUGACGACUGAACCAGCCAUGCCGCGUGAAGGUCACGGCCCUACGGGUCUUAAACUUCUUUUGUAAGGGAGCAAUAAGGUCUACGUGUAGACUGAUGAGAGUACCUUACGAAUAAGCAUCGGCUAACUCCGUG